This is a long non-coding RNA of Talpa occidentalis (Iberian mole), 231 nucleotides long. RefSeq lists it as uncharacterized. The transcript has 3 exons. The record is from RefSeq and is a predicted model, not a curated record. Lineage: Eukaryota; Metazoa; Chordata; Mammalia; Eulipotyphla; Talpidae.
AGCAAUUGUGAAGGUUGGGCAGAGCAGCACUGGACACUGGACCCACUGGGACCAAGGGGGAAAACAUGUCUGAACACUGUACAUGAUGCCCUUAGAAUCAAGAGGAAACAAGAAUGACCAAAAGUAAACCAGUUCACAAGAUUACUUCUGCUGCAGCAGUGGUCAUGGGGACAGGAGGAAGCCAACUAAGCAGUCUCCAGAAGAUCUUAAUUUUCCCCUAUUCUUUCUCAA